RNAcentral lists this ribosomal RNA (505 nucleotides) under uncultured bacterium. RNAcentral's name for it is "partial 16S ribosomal RNA". It matches the Rfam family "Bacterial small subunit ribosomal RNA", at positions 28 to 507 of the family's 1533-position model. The record is from RNAcentral.
GACGAACGCUGGCGGCGUGCCUAAUACAUGCAAGUCGAACGCACAGUUUAUACCGUAGCUUGCUACACCAUAGACUGUGAGUUGCGAACGGGUGAGUAAUGCGUAGGUAACCUGCCUGGUAGCGGGGGAUAACUAUUGGACACGUUAGCUAAUACCGCAUAAUAUUAAUUAUUGCAUGAUAAUUAAUUGAAAGGUGCAAUUGCACCACUACCAGAUGGACCUGCGUUGUAUUAGCUAGUAGGUGAGGUAACGGCUCACCUAGGCGAGGAUACAUAACCGACCUGGAAGGGGGAUACGCCAAACUGGGACGGGAGAACGGCCCGGAACCCUGCGGGAGGGAGCAGGAGGGGAUCCUUGGGAAUGGACGAAAGGCUGAACGAGGAACGCCGGGGGAGAGAAGGAGGUUGUCGGGUCGUAAAGCUCUGGUGUAAGUGAAGAACGGAAGUGAGAGUGAAAAGUGCACAUUGUGACGGUAUCUGACCAGAAAGGGACGGCUAACUACGUG